RNAcentral lists this ribosomal RNA (795 nucleotides) under uncultured bacterium. RNAcentral's name for it is "bacterial SSU rRNA". It matches the Rfam family "Bacterial small subunit ribosomal RNA", at positions 62 to 891 of the family's 1533-position model. The record is from RNAcentral.
UCGAACGAGAAAGUGGAGCAGUCCAUGAGUACAGUGGCGUACGGGUGAGUAACACGUGGGGAUCUACCUUUUGGUGGGGGAUAACUCUGGGAAACCGGAGCUAAUACCGCAUAAGCAGGGGACUGGAAAGCCGAAAGGCGCCGGAAGAGGAGCCCGCGGCCGAUUAGCUAGUUGGUGAGGUAAAGGCUCACCAAGGCAAAGAUCGGUAGCCGGCCUGAGAGGGCACACGGCCACACUGGCACUGAAACACGGGCCAGACUCCUACGGGAGGCAGCAGUGGGGAAUCUUGCACAAUGGGGGCAACCCUGAUGCAGCGACGCCGCGUGAGCGAUGAAGCCCUUCGGGGCGUAAAGCUCUUUCGGCCGGAACGAUAAUGACGGUACCGGAGGAAGAAGCUGCGGCUAACUACGUGCCAGCAGCCGCGGUAAUACGUAGGCACCAAGCGUUGUUCGGAGUUACUGGGCGUAAAGAGUGCGUAGGCGGUGGCCUAAGUUCGGUGUGAAAUCUCCCGGCUUAACUGGGAGGGUGCGCCGAAGACUGGGUUGCUGGAGUGUGGGAAAGGUAAGCGGAAUUCCUGGUGUAGCGGUGAAAUGCGUAGAUAUCAGGAGGAACACCGGCGGUGUAGACGGCUUACUAGACCAUAACUGACGCUGAGGCACGAAAGCGUGGGUAGCAAACAGGAUUAGAUACCCUGGUAGUCCACGCCCUAAACGAUGCAUACUUGGUGUGGGCAGUUCAUUCUGUCCGUGCCGGAGCUAACGCGUUAAGUAUGCCGCCUGGGGAGUACGGUCGCAA